Molecule: long non-coding RNA, 601 nt
Organism: Ictalurus punctatus (channel catfish)
Lineage: Eukaryota; Metazoa; Chordata; Actinopteri; Siluriformes; Ictaluridae
Source: Ensembl
GCUGUGAAAUGGCGCUGCUCGUCCUCCUGUUCUUCUUCCAUCUGAUUCUGGACAUUAACUCUCAAUAUGUUCCUCAGCCCCGGCUGUCCGUGACUCCUGAAGUUCUCACAGAGAGAGGAUCAGUGCAGAUUCACUGUCAUGUUCCAGACAUUGUUAAAGUGCGUCAGUGUUAUUUCUACACAGAGAGAGAGAAAAGAAAUCUAAAACUCUCUCCAUCAUGUCAGCUCUCAGUCAAUGGUUCUGAACUGAUCAGGUGGACAGGACGAAGUUCUCCUGGAACACUUCAUAUUACUUGUUUCUACACUGUGGAUAACUCUGUUCGUACUCCUUCUCCUCACUCUCUCCCAGCUCCAGUCACAGUGCUGAAUCAGAAACCGAGACUAAGCGUCAGUCAUGAUGGUCAGUUUGAUGUAUUCAGAUUUGUGUGUGAAAUAUCAGGGUCAGAGUCAGUAACUGCUGAUUUUAGCUGUAAUCUCUACACUGGAGAAAAUCCUCAGCUUUUCCUAAUCCAAAGAUCUCAAAAGAGAAAAUCUGUGAAGGUUUGUAGUUUUACAGCACAGAGAGACGCUGUGUUUAAUCGUCUGCAGUCAGUAAAGAGUCG